Molecule: unclassified non-coding RNA, 192 nt
Filed under: uncultured fungus
Lineage: Eukaryota; Fungi
Description: sequence contains ITS1
Source: RNAcentral
UGGUACCUCAGUGAGCCAUCGUGCCACAGUUUUUUCUUCUUACGUAGGUCAUGACUGUACAGGCAGCGAAACUCGUAGACUGGUGCGGUAUUCUGCGUGGCGGCGACGGCCAGGUUGGGCGUGCCUCGUGCGGUACUCAUUGUGUAGAUGACGGAUAAGGCGCGUCGCACCGGCGCUUCAUAACGACGAGUC